ACAAGCGGUGGAUCAUGUUGUUUAAUUCGAUGAUACGCGAAGAACCUUACCAGGUCUUGACAUCCCCCGCGAUGCUUUAGAGAUAAAGCGGAGGUAUUCGGGGAGACAGGUGGUGCAUGGUUGUCGUCAGCUCGUGUCGUGAGAUGUUGGGUUAAGUCCCGCAACGAGCGCAACCCCUAUUGCUAGUUACCAUCAUUAAGUUGGGGACUCUAGCGAGACUGCCAGUGAUAAACUGGAGGAAGGUGGGGAUGACGUCAAAUCAUCAUGCCCCUUAUGACCUGGGCUACAAACGUGAUACAAUGGCUGGAACAAAGGGAUGCGAAGCAGUGAUGUGGAGCGAAACCCAUAAAAACAGUCUCAGUUCGGAUUGAAGUCUGCAACUCGACUUCAUGAAGUCGGAAUCGCUAGUAAUCGCGGAUCAGAACGCCGCGGUGAAUACGUUCUCGGGGUUU
RNAcentral lists this ribosomal RNA (452 nucleotides) under uncultured Acholeplasma sp. Its description in RNAcentral is "bacterial SSU rRNA". It matches the Rfam family "Bacterial small subunit ribosomal RNA", at positions 925 to 1382 of the family's 1533-position model. Lineage: Bacteria; Bacillati; Mycoplasmatota; Mollicutes; Acholeplasmatales; Acholeplasmataceae. The record is from RNAcentral.